CAACAUAAGGUGCAAGUGUGCACCGACCACAAGAACCUAGAGUAUUGGAGGACGGCACGAGUGCUCAACCAACGGCAAGUGAGAUGGGCCCAGGAGUUCUCCAAAUUUAACUUUGAGAUUAGUUACGUGCCAGGCCCAGAGAACAUUAGGGCGGACGCUCUCUCACGCAAACCUGAAUAUUUGGAGGGGAGGGGGCACCCGAAGAGAGACAUGUCAUUCCAGAAAACCGCUGGGUCUGUGGGGCGGCAUUGGUGGGACAAAGAGAACUGGUAGAGGAAACAGAGAAUGAUGAAUACGCCCAGAAUAAGCUCAGAGGUCUUAGGGGUGAUGGAGAGGAACCAGGGGGUUUCGAGGAAAGAAAUGGAGCUUUGUAUUACAAAGGGGCACUGUAUAUCCCUGAAGGAGAGUUAAGGGGGAGGGUACUCAAGCAGUUGCACGACAGCCCUACGGCGGGGCAUUUUGGACAACACAAAACCAUGUGGUUGGUCACCAGGGAAUUUUGGUGGCCUAAGGUGAGGGAAGAUGUACGUGAGUAUGUAAGAGGGUGCGAGCAAUGCCAGCGAGCCAAAGGGGAAAGGCGGGCGCCGGCGGGGCUAUUAGAACCCUUACCAACCCCAGAACGACCUUGGGAGGCAGUGUCGAUAGAUUUUAUGACUGAUCUGCCGAAGUCCAAAGGGAAAACAGCCAUCAUGGUGGUGGUAGACCUACUAACAAAGAUGUGCCACUUUGUAGCUUGCUCGCAUGCAGUCACGGCGGAAGAGACAGCGAAGUUAUUUGUAGAAAACAUUUUUAGGUUGCACGGGGUGCCAUUGAGGGUGGUCUCAGACCGAGGAAAACAAUUUACUUCCAGGUUCUGGAGGAAGCUCAUGAGCUUACUGCAGGUGGAGGUCAAUUUUUCGACUGCCCGGCACCCUGAAACCAACGGGCAGGCGGAAAGAGCAAACGGUGUCCUCCAGCAAUACCUGAGGUGUUAUGUCAAUGACAGAGAGAAUGACUGGGUAGAAAAGUUGGCGCUGGCGGAAUUUGCCUACAACAAUGCCGAGAAUGUGUCCACAGGGAUGAGCCCCUUCUUGGCUAAUUAUGGGUGUCAUCCCAGGGCUUUCCCAGGGGGAGAGGGGAGAGAUGGAGCGUCCCGGCAGCCGAACAUUUUGUGGAAGAAAUGGAAGCAAUCCAUCGUCAGCUCCAACUCAACUUAGAAAGGGCGAAGGAAGAAUACAAGAGGCAGGCAGACAAGAACCGAAGGGAAGGUGAAACCAUAAGGGUGGGAGAUAGGGUGUGGCUGUCAACCCAAGGGCUGCCGUUCAAAGGAGGUUGUAAGAAAUUAAGACCCAGGAGGUUGGGUCCCUUUGAGGUCAUUCAACAGGUCAACCCAGUGGCUUUCAGGCUCCGGUUACCCAACCACAUGAAACUGCACCCAGUAUUUCACAGGUCGUUACUGUCACCGUACGAAGGGGGACGAGAAGGGCUGGCCACUCGGGGACCGGUCGUAGAAGAAAGAGAAUGCAGCAGCCAUGUGGCUGAAAUCCUCGACGCCAGGUGGAAGGGGGAUCAGGUGGAGUAUUUGGUAGCGUGGGAAGGAGAACCGGAGUCAGAAAACACUUGGGUAAUGGCUGAAGAUAUCAAUGACGAGGUAUUGAUAGAAACGUUCCAUCAAAGGUUCCCAAGGAAACCUCAGCCUGUGGAGAGGUUCCGGAGGGAAUACUUUGGGACCACUGAUGAAGGGGAGGAGUUGGAAGGAUUCCCGGACUCGGAAGGGGAAGGGGAGAUAGACUCUGAGGAGGAGGUGUACUUCGAGACCAGGAACCGCAACAGGUUGAGAGAAGUGUUCGAGACAUCGGAAGAUGAAGGAAGUUCAUUCCGGGGUUUUGCCUCCUCACCGCCCGUAGAGGAGGGGGGGGAGAGGGGGUGAAGGGGGCCCUGGAGGGGAGGUGGAUGUCAGGGAACUGCCAUCGGACGGAAGGGAGGUGAAAGGGCUCACACAGGUUGGGAGAGACGCAGCAGCUGAAGAGGGAAACAACAGGGAGGUGAAAGGGCUCACACAGGUUGGGAGAGACGCAGCAGCUGAAGAAGGAACCAGCAGGGGGAGGGGAGCUGAGCUGGAGGGAUGGCUCAGAGACACUUCCAGCGAAAACAGUGGGGAGGUUUCAGAACCUCCUGUAAGAACACCCACUCCUCGCCGGAAACUGUCACGCAGAGAUUCCAGAAGACGUGUUUCCGUUAAGGAGCUUUUAUGUUGGAAGCGAUUACGAAAGCAACCACUGUCGGAAUCUGCUAGUGACUAGAGCAGCCAUGUCUGAGGGGCUCUGUCACAGACAGAGGUUUGUGGACUUGAACAAACUCUGAGGGAAUACGAUUUUACGCACAAGCAGCUCAUCAUCCCAUCACAG
Non-coding RNA from Podarcis lilfordi (Lilford's wall lizard), 2387 nucleotides. The record is from the annotation of a GenBank genome assembly. Lineage: Eukaryota; Metazoa; Chordata; Lepidosauria; Squamata; Lacertidae.